This is a long non-coding RNA of Passer domesticus (house sparrow), 6122 nucleotides long. RefSeq lists it as uncharacterized. The transcript has 2 exons. NCBI's taxonomy places the organism in Eukaryota, Metazoa, Chordata, Aves, Passeriformes, Passeridae. The record is from RefSeq and is a predicted model, not a curated record.
CGCGCCGUGAGGGAGGGAGCGGGCUCCGAGCCCCGUGCGGCUGUCGGGGCUGAGGGGACACCGCGGGGACAGCGAGCCGCCCCGCGGAGGAGGUGCCGGGCGGGAAGGAGCCCGCGCGGGGGAGAAUGCGGAGGCGGCCGCCGGCCCCGCGCGCGCGGCGCUUCCCGAGUUCCCGUCGCCGCUUUUCCUCGAGUGUUCGCUGGAGCGAGCACAAGACAGCGUUCUUUCCACCGAGCUCAGGCAAUCAUCACCAGUUGCUACAACCUCUGAGCCAAACUGCUUCAACGCUGCCUCAAUACUUCUACAGCAAAACAUGGGAUUGAGGGAGCAGCCCCUCCCAGAGCACCAGCCAGGAGGAAAUCCUGCUCCAGCCCCUUCUUCAGAUGGAUGCAGAGCUAAGACUUGUCACUAAAGUUAGGGACUGGGACUUAGAGUCUCCGGAGCCGCUGUGACUGGUGACGUUUUUACAGAGUGACUCUUCAAACCAGGAAAAGCACUCUGGAGUCAGGAAGCCCCAGGGGAGGAACAGCCCUCUGCCCUGUUCUCUGCAUUUCAGUCACCAAGCCCCAGGGGAGGGACGGCCCUCUGCCCCGCUGCUCUGUGCCUGCAGGAUGGCCCGCAGUUCCCAGUCCCUCCCAAAGCUGCCCCGAGCAGCGCAUGUAAAUCACCGAGCGGAAAAAACAAGCUUACAGCGGUUGCGAGGUACUUGGAAUCGUGAGAGAAGCUGAUGUGAGUCACGGGACAUUGCGAGAACUGGAAUUCCUCGCAUAUGGACUGAAGGGAAAUUGCAUCAAGGAUGUAAACGCUUCCAUCAGUAAAUCCAGCAGCCAGAAAAUGACCUGGAAAGCAGACCAGAAACCUCUCACGACACCAUCACUCCUCCCAGAAAGGCCAGUGCUUGGCACAUGGUCAGGUCACAGGGCUGGGAUACCUUCAGGAUCAUAGGAUAAGCACUGGAUGCCAGCCUCGGUGAAUAUCCUGCUAACGAGGUACUGGGUCUGCUUGUAUUCCCACACCUUCAGCAGCCCACAGUGACUCCCCACAGCCACCAGUGGCUCCUGAGGGUGGCAGGCAAUGGCAUUCACAGCUUUCUUCGCCUCUGUCAUGAUUCUUUCAAAGUUUGUGCUGUCUGUUGCAACAUGGAACAUGGUUGCAUCAGAGGUUGAAAGGAUAAAGUUCCUGUUUAGCAUGAGAGAAACAGAAUUCGAUGAAUCAGACCAACUGGCUCACGUCCCUGCAAGCUAUAUUACACAUCAGUCUUUUUUUGGCAAGUUAGUUGGACAAUCACUUAUAUUUUGUGAUACACAGUAUGCAAACGCUCCUUGACCUGGAAGGCAAGUGACACUUUGUAUUCAUGACCUGGGAAAUGGCCACGGGAAGACACCGGAGCCAGUUCCAUUUUCUACUUGGCUGGGCAAGCCAGAAGAUUAAUGACAUCUGGGGAGCUCCUGCCGUUUGCAAGUCACUGGUGUGUGAGAUGGACAAGUGAGCAACUGGAGAUACUCUGAAUGGCCUUGUCACGUGUCCCCAUGCCACCACUGCCAGUGGCUGCACGUUGGCCAUGCUGCCAUGGCCAGGGUCAGAGGGCAGUUUCAGUCCCUGUCUGCUCACUUGGCCACACUGAGCAGCACAGCAGGGAGGUGUCACUGUGUGACUGGUGAUGGGUAAGCAGACAGCAGGACCAUUAUUCAUAUUGCAGCACAAAUAUGUACAGUUUCAGUCUGCUUGAGUGAGAGUCUGGACCCCGUAAAAGGGACAAGAGAGGAUCACCCAGAAAUCCCAGAGUGGUUUGAGUAGGAAGGGACCAUAAAGAUCAUCUUGUUUCGACACUUUACACUAGACCAGGUUGCUCCAAGCCCCAUCCAAUCUGGGCUUGAAUGAUUCCAGGCAUGGGGCAUCCACUGCUUCUCUGGACAACCUGUGCCAGGACAUCACCACCCUCACAGUGAGGAAUUUCUUCCUAUAUCACAUCUGGCCUCUGUCAAUUUUUGCCAUUUUCCCCUUGUCCUGUCACUCCUUGUCCAAAGUCCCUCUCCAGCUGUUUUAGAGCCCUUGAGGCACUGGAAGGUGCUAGAAGGUCUCCUUGGAGCCUUCUCCAGACAGACAAGUGGGGAAGCACAGCCUCUUUGCCAGCUGUUCCAUCACAGCCACCAGUUUGUGCACAUCUGGCCCAGGCACUGAUGGACUCUGCACCCCUUGCGUGCCUUGCUGGGCUCUCCAGCCAUUCCUGAUCCCACCAGGCUCUGGGAUGAGCUCAGGCCUUUCCUUCCCCUUUGGGAAGCCAAACCAUCCCCCAGGACACUGCUCCAAGCUGGAGAAGAAUCUGUCCCACACGGCUCUUUGGAAAACACGUGUGGCUAAGAACAGACAUUGCCAAGAAAGCCUUAACAGGAGUGACAGACAUGUGGUUUGCAGGCUGGGUGGAGCCACACAACAGCUUCAUGUGGCCUGCAGACUCCCUGGAAGUCCUCAGGCACAGCUAUGUCACACAGAGGGACAGAGAGGGGCUGGUGACCAGUCAGUGUGGUACAACCCUGCACUGGUGCCAUGGCCCCAGUUAGCUUGCCAAGCCAUGAUAAAAUCUGGAUACAGCCAUGCCUGGGAAGGGUUUAAGGGGGGAUUAAGGGGCCCAGUGAGAGCUGGAGGCUUGGCAUUAGCACUGGCUGGUGGGUGGGUACUGACAGGGAAGCUGAUCAUCACCGUGCCUGCACUAACACCGUGUCUGUGCCAAGGCAUCACCUGGAGCUGAGUCUGGGACGUGCUGGAGCCCACCCACACUCCCUCCCUCUCCUGCCCAGGAGCCUGGGCACAAGGCUGAGUCCUGCUCCAGAGCAGGCAGAAGCUCAUGGAGCAGCCCUCACUGAGCACCUCCCCAACUUUCAGCUGCAAGGCAAACACAGGAGAAGACCUGGGUUGGUAAAGAGGCACUCACCUGGUGAGAAAAGGCUGGCUGCUGCCCGGGAGGGCACUGGGAGCAUCCCGAAGGAUUGUGGAGAAGGAGAUGGACUGGAUGGGACCCACUUUGUCGUGGCUGUAGGUGCUGAGGAGCCGCAGCUGCCCAUCGUAGAAUUUAACCUGCCCUUUCACAUCACCUGUGGCUAUACAGCUGCAGGGAAGGGAAGGUUAUUCACCAACACACUGCCUGACAACUCCAAAUAUUUCUUGAAGAGCAUCCUUGGGUGGAAGCAAACCUCUUCCCCUUUCUCUGCACAAGCACACCAGCAGAGCCCUGCACAGAUGUGCAGGAGAAAGGCAGGAUUGUGCAGAAACCAGCGGUUCUGCUGUGACCCUGCCGUGUCCCUGCCGUGUCCCCAAGGCUGUCGCAGCGUUUGGUGGCUGUCUGCUCCCUCUGCCGGUAGCAGCCAGGAGGCUGUCUGAGCUAUCCCAGGAGAGCUGGCAUCUCACCACCACGAGUUUUCAAGUUCAUUUCCACCCCCAGACAAACCCAUUGCUGGAAAAUUACUCAUAAACCAGCAGCACUUUCCUGCAUGAGUGACCGUGCUGCUAAGUGACUUAAAACGCCAACAUUUCUGCCACUCCUACAGCUACUGAAAAGGGCUGCCCUGUUACCUCUCCAACACCUGGAGCACGGUGAGACUCUCCUUCUGCAUUGCCACCACCUUGGCAGGUGUCACUCCGUGGGGUUUGGCCGGCAGCUCCUCGGGGACAGUGCGGGGAUCGUCCAUGUCCCACAGCACCAGCUUCCCGGCCGACGUGCCCGUCAGAGCUUGGGUGUUGUUAAAAUGGAAAACUGACUGGCUGAACUGUCCCACCAGGCACUUGAAGGUCUGUGGAGACAGCGGCCAGGCCGUGUUUUCAUCCCAGAGCUGGCUCUGCCCUCCUCAAGCAGAGAGGUUUCUGCUUGGUCCUCAUGGCAUUCCCUCCUGUCCCAUGGCAGGACAAGAGCCCCAGGAGAAAAUGCAGUGAGGCACUUUGGGGAGAGAGCUCUGCUUGAGCUCAGCUUGGACAAGCCUGGCUUGUCCCUGUCUGAGGGGUACAGGCCAGGGCCACUGGUUUUGCUUAAGGGGUUGGGGAGGGACAGUGCUGCUGCCAGCAGGAAAGCCAAGAGGGUGACAUGCUGUGGUCCCUCCCUGCUGUGCUCACCUGGUUGCUCAGGAAUGGUGUCCCAUACUGCAAACCAGAAUCAUCCUGGGGAAAGCAGAGAAAACAUCCAGGACAGGGAUUUUGGAACCAAGCUCUGCAGUGCCAGCAUGUCCCUUCCCCACCAUCUGGGCACUGGCCCCACACUGUGGUGACCAAAACAGGAAAGGUUCCAAGGUCUUCCAGAGAGCACAAAACAUCCUCUCCUUCCACCUGCUUCUUUCCAAAAGCUGCUAAAUGGCACAAGGCCCAUGGGAAAGCAGGAGUGGGAGAGGUGAAGAGCAUCCCUGCCACGGCUGGGCCUGACCAGUGUGGGAGUGGAGGGAGUCUGAUACUCUGUCCAGGCCACUUUGGGAUCUGGGAAGGGCAGGGAGCAGGGAAGGGACAGAUCUGCAGAGUGACCCCAGUUGUGGACAGACACCCAGCCCCUGAGCCCCCCCUGCCACCUCCUUUCUGGCACCAAAAACACGACUUCCCGUGUCUCUACUUACCCACAGGUAAAAUAUCACCUGGGUUUUGCUGUUGCUGACAAACUCAUGGGGAUUCUGAGGGUUAAAAAUGACAUAAUCCUGAAAUUCAAAGAAUUGCAUUAGCAGCAAGCUCAGCAAUGCUUUCUGCUUAUUCUCCCAUCCAAAACCACUGCUUUUAUCCAAAGCCACCUCACCAGCUGCACUGAACCGAAAUGAGAGGACACCCCAUGCCUGUCAGGCAUUAGAGGAACAGGGAUGAGCCCUUGGGAUGCUCUGCUGCAUCAGGGUGCCCCAGGGAUGGGGUGUGAUCCUGCCCCCCUUGGCACGGUCACUCACCUGAUACCCAAACUCAGGCUUCAGCUCUGUGCUGCACACGGGUUCCUCUGUGAGCAAAGUCCAUCUCCAAACACAAACUUUCUGAAAGAGAAGGGGAGAAAAAUCCAAGGAACACUCCCAUGGCUCUCUGGGAGGUUUGGGGUGCCAGGUGAAUGCCAGUCCCCACUGCAGGGGAUGAUGUGGCCUAAAAGACUGGAGCAGGCCAAACCCCAGCACAGCCUGGCAGCAGAAAGCUUAAUUUCAGGAAAUAAUGCUAGAAAUUGCUUAGCUGAAAGUGAUGAAGUCAGAAGCUUUUAUCCCAAAUUAAGAUCCAUUUUCUCAACUCUGCAGCAUUCACUUUAAUGAAAUCCAGGUCUGUCUUCUAAUGGCUCAGCAACAACAAAGCACCACUCUCCCCAUGUGAAUUCCCACCUCCCCUGUGCUGCACUGCAAAAACUUGCAAGUCUCUAUCCUGCAAAGCUAUGAAAGAGGAGACACUCUCUUCACCUGCACAGUAGCAGCACUAAUGGUCACCAGAUACUUGGCAUCCUGGGAAAUGGCAAUGGCACAGACCCCGUCCUCGGCAUGGCUCUCGAAGAUGGUGCGCACGGGUACCCUGCGGAGCACAGGUCCCAUGGGUGCUCCAGGCAGUCACUUGGCAAGGCCUGUGCCACAGCCCACCCACCCUGUGUGGAAGAAGGGAUGGAGGGAGGGAGGCUGCAAACACUGGUGCUGCCACAGGCUGGUGCUCAGUGGCCCCUCCAUCCCUUCCUCCCAAGUUGAUGGCACUGGGAAACAACUCAGCAGGGAUCUUUGAAGAUCCUACAGCAUGGAGAUGUGGUGUACUUAGUCUGGGGGAGCUCAGCCCCAUCUCAUGUCCCAUGAGUGUGGGUGAUACAAGGACUGUGAAGGACUUGGUUUGGUUUUGGUUCUUUUACUGCUUUUUAGUCUGUCCCUGUGUUCUCCCAUUUUACUCUCAGUUGAGACUGGAGUCUGAGUGAUUUAUUGGACUCAGGGGGUUUCCAAAAGAGGAGGUUCCUGGGAGCUUACCCAGAGUAGGAGUCCCACACGAUGAUCAUAGCAUCUGGCCCUUGGUCAGCAGUGGCAACCCAGCGUUUGUCUGCACUCACACACAGGCAGGAGAUGACAUUUGUGUGACCCUGGGGAGAGAAGCAGCAAAGUGCCUUGGAGGCUGCAAACCUGGGGCUGUUCUGUUCAUACCUUUUGUAUGGGCUG